This 74-nucleotide transfer RNA is filed under the name Candidatus Berkelbacteria bacterium. Its description in RNAcentral is "tRNA-Trp". It matches the Rfam family "tRNA". From Rfam's summary of the family: Transfer RNA (tRNA) molecules are approximately 80 nucleotides in length. The record is from RNAcentral. Lineage: Bacteria; Candidatus Berkelbacteria.
GGGCCUGUAGUUUAGUGGUAAAACGGCGGUCUCCAAAACCGCAGUCGGGCGUCCGAUUCGCUCCAGGCCUGCCA